Long non-coding RNA from Neopelma chrysocephalum (saffron-crested tyrant-manakin), 1084 nucleotides. RefSeq lists it as uncharacterized. The record is from RefSeq and is a predicted model, not a curated record. The transcript has 2 exons. NCBI's taxonomy places the organism in Eukaryota, Metazoa, Chordata, Aves, Passeriformes, Pipridae.
AUGAUAGAUAAUACAAGACAUCUACAACAGUGACAGGUUCUGACAGUGACAGGAUGAUGCCCAGUGCAGGAUCAAGGCUGUUACUGACAGUAUCAUUCUGCAAUUAAUAAUCUUUUGUGCUCCCCUUGGCAUGCACAGAACAACCACAGCAAUCUGUUUACAAGUUUUAACUCCAUGGUGUCUGAGCCACCAUAAGCUCCCCGCAAACUACAUCAGAAUGUUGAAUGGAGAAGAAAGGAAAUACUGAGGGGAAAACUAAAUUUGUUCUGGCAUCAGGUGCACAGCAAUUUGGGUGAGAGACUGUUUUUAACUUCCCAACAGUGUGAGAUUACAGCGAGACCCUCCUUUCCAUUGAGGUCACUUUACACUGGCAGAGCAGCAGCUGACAUUCAAAUGAAGAUCUCCAGGGAUUUCAGCUCUGUCACCCAUUUGAUCCAGCCCAGGAUGAACUCAUCCAUGUGAUUCCUGAAUGUGCUAUGAAGAUGGAGACAGUCCAAACCAUGGCAUAUUUACACAGACUGAUUGUGUGGCUUAGCUGUUUCCUAAUAUACCUGUUAAACUGCAGAGACUGUGUGUCUGCUUCGACAAACUCUUCUUAGAGGUGCUUUGAUUUCUGUUUGAAAUAAGGAGGUUUUUUUCCUCCUUCUUCUCAUUAUCUGCCAUCAUUUUUUGGUAAGUAUCAUCUCUUCUCCCCCAACGCAGCCCUUUACUUUAAGCAUGGAACUAAUAAUUUUCUUAAAACACAUUUAUAUUCUUUCCAGAAUUGAGGCUUUAGUGUCACCUUGCUAAGGCAAAAGGCCCACCAUUAAGUGCAGGGACUGGCAGUGAGUUUAAGUAGGUGGAAAAGCAAUUGAUACAACUCCUGUCUGCUCUCAGCAACGGCAGAGCUUCACUGAAAUACGUGCACUGAGUUCUGUCAUGGGAGGGGUUUUGGGGUAAGCAUUCCAUAGCUUCUGACUGCUUAUUUGGGUUUAAUUGAAUUAGACACAUAUUUGAACACAGCACUCAAAGGAGCUGACAGUCUUUCCACAAUUUCCUGGCCUGCCUGGUUGGUUUCCUUUUUGAUCAGGCACAUCCCAGUGAA